Molecule: ribosomal RNA, 1209 nt
Filed under: Halorubrum sp.
Lineage: Archaea; Methanobacteriati; Methanobacteriota; Halobacteria; Halobacteriales; Haloferacaceae
Description: bacterial SSU rRNA
Rfam family: Archaeal small subunit ribosomal RNA
Source: RNAcentral
UCGGGAAACUGAGGCUAAUAGUGUAUACCACAGUCCACCUGGAAUGAGGACUGUGCCAAACGCUCCGGCGCCGAAGGAUGUGGCUGCGGCCGAUUAGGUAGACGGUGGGGUAACGGCCCACCGUGCCAAUAAUCGGUACGGGUCAUGAGAGUGAGAACCCGGAGACGGAAUCUGAGACAAGAUUCCGGGCCCUACGGGGCGCAGCAGGCGCGAAACCUUUACACUGCACGACAGUGCGAUAAGGGAAUCCCAAGUGCGCAGGCAUAGAGCCUGCGCUUUUGUCCACCGUAGGGAGGUGGACGAAUAAGGGCUGGGCAAGACCGGUGCCAGCCGCCGCGGUAAUACCGGCAGCCCGAGUGAUGGCCGAUCUUAUUGGGCCUAAAGCGUCCGUAGCUGGCCGCACAAGUCUAUCGGAAAAUCCACCCGCUCAACGGGUGGGCGUCCGGUAGAAACUGUGUGGCUUGGGACCGGAAGGCGCGACGGGUACGUCCGGGGUAGGAGUGAAAUCCCGUAAUCCUGGACGGACCGCCGAUGGCGAAAGCACGUCGCGAAGACGGAUCCGACAGUGAGGGACGAAAGCUAGGGUCUCGAACCGGAUUAGAUACCCGGGUAGUCCUAGCCGUAAACAAUGCCUGCUAGGUGUGGCUCCCACUACGAGUGGGUGCUGUGCCGUAGGGAAGCCGCUAAGCAGGCCGCCUGGGAAGUACGUCCGCAAGGAUGAAACUUAAAGGAAUUGGCGGGGGAGCACUACAACCGGAGGAGCCUGCGGUUUAAUUGGACUCAACGCCGGACAUCUCACCAGCAUCGACUGUAGUAAUGACGAUCAGGUUGAUGACCUUAUCCGAGCUUCAGAGAGGAGGUGCAUGGCCGCCGUCAGCUCGUACCGUGAGGCGUCCUGUUAAGUCAGGCAACGAGCGAGACCCGCAUCCUUACUUGCCAGCAGCACUGCGAAGUGGCUGGGGACAGUAGGGAGACCGCCGUGGCCAACACGGAGGAAGGAACGGGCAACGGUAGGUCAGUAUGCCCCGAAUGUGCUGGGCAACACGCGGGCUACAAUGGUCGAGACAAAGGGUUCCUACUCCGAAAGGAGACGGUAAUCUCAGAAACUCGAUCGUAGUUCGGAUUGUGGGCUGCAACUCGCCCACAUGAAGCUGGAUUCGGUAGUAAUCGCGUGUCAUAAGCGCGCGGUGAAUACGUCCCUGCUCCUUG